This 327-nucleotide unclassified non-coding RNA is filed under the name uncultured fungus. RNAcentral's name for it is "partial contains small subunit ribosomal RNA, internal transcribed spacer 1, and 5.8S ribosomal RNA". The stretch from base 1 to 73 matches the Rfam family "Eukaryotic small subunit ribosomal RNA", at positions 1759 to 1831 of the family's 1831-position model. Lineage: Eukaryota; Fungi. The record is from RNAcentral.
GCAAACUUGGUCAUUUAGAGGAAGUAAAAGUCGUAACAAGGUUUCCGUAGGUGAACCUGCGGAAGGAUCAUUACCGAGUGAGGGUCUCCUGGCCCAACCUCCCAAACCCCUUGUUUAUUUGAACCUAUUGUUUGCUUCGGCGGGCCCGUCUCUAUCGACCGCCGGGGGAUCUGACGUCCCCGGGCGUCUUUCUCCCCUGGCCCGCGCCCGCCGGCAGCCCCAUCAAACACUCCACGCGAAUCGUGUAUGUUUCUCUAAGUACCAUUAAAAUCGCAAAAAACUUUCAACAACGGAUCUCUUGGUUCUGGCAUCGAUGAAGAACGCAGC